RNAcentral lists this ribosomal RNA (256 nucleotides) under uncultured bacterium. RNAcentral's name for it is "partial 16S ribosomal RNA". It matches the Rfam family "Bacterial small subunit ribosomal RNA", at positions 524 to 776 of the family's 1533-position model. The record is from RNAcentral.
UACGAAGGGGGGCUAGCGUUGCUCGGAAUCACUGGGCGUAAAGGGUGCGUAGGCGGGUCUUUAAGUCAGAGGUGAAAUCCUGGAGCUCAACUCCAGAACUGCCUUUGAUACUGAGGGUCUUGAGUAUGACAGAGGUGAGUGGAACUGCGAGUGUAGAGGUGAAAAUUCGUAGAUAUUCGCAAGAACACCAGUGGCGAAGGCGGCUCACUGGGUCAUUACUGACGCUGAGGCACGAAAGCGUGGGGGAGCAAACAGG